Molecule: ribosomal RNA, 594 nt
Filed under: uncultured organism
Description: bacterial SSU rRNA
Rfam family: Bacterial small subunit ribosomal RNA
Source: RNAcentral
UAAACGUUGAUCACUCGUUGUUGGCUAUACACCGUCAGCGACCUAGCUAAUGCGCUAAGUGAUCCACCUGGGGAGUACGAUCGCAAGGUUGAAACUCAAAGGAAUUGACGGGGGCCCGCACAAGCGGAGGAGCAUGUGGUUUAAUUCGAUGAUACGCGAGGAACCUUACCUGGGCUUAAAUGUAGUGUGCAUUCCCGUGAAAACGGGAUUUCCUUCGGGACUCAUUACAAGGUGCUGCAUGGUUGUCGUCAGCUCGUGCCGUGAGGUGUCGGGUUAAGUCCCAUAACGAGCGCAACCCCUAUCUUUAGUUGCUAACAGAUUAUGCUGAGGACUUUAAAGAAACUGCCCGCGCAAGCGGUGAGGAAGGUGGGGAUGACGUCAAAUCAGCACGGCCAUUAUGUCCAGGGCUACACACGUGCUACAAUGGCAGGUACAGUGGGCAGCUAUCACGCAAGUGAAUGCUAAUCUCCAAACCCUGUCUCAGUCCGGAUCGGAGUCUGCAACCCGACUCCGUGAAGCUGGAUUCGCUAGUAUCGCACAUCAGCCAUGUGCGGGAUACGUUCCCGGGCCUGACACACCGCCCGUCAAGCCAUG